Molecule: unclassified non-coding RNA, 279 nt
Filed under: Glomus sp.
Lineage: Eukaryota; Fungi; Glomeromycota; Glomeromycetes; Glomerales; Glomeraceae
Description: partial internal transcribed spacer 2
Rfam family: 5.8S ribosomal RNA (bases 1-65)
Source: RNAcentral
GUGAAUCAUCGAAUUUUUGAACGCAAAUUGCACUCUCCUCGGAUAGUAUGACUGUUUGUGUGUCAGCCUAUAAAAAUUGACAUCGUUACUGUUUCGCGGUGUUGUUCGUCGGAAAUUGGGUCAUCUUAAAUCCUUUUGAUUUAAGCGACUUAAAAUUUUCUUUUUGUUUCCAUGAACGUUUCUAAGAUUUAUUUCUUUACACGUUUAAGUUAUCGAUUUUUACUAGACGUGACUAUCAUAUCGGAUCUCGUCCAUUAUCUUUCAUUAACUGACCUCAAA